RNAcentral lists this small RNA (190 nucleotides) under Pan troglodytes (chimpanzee). Its description in RNAcentral is "processed transcript". Lineage: Eukaryota; Metazoa; Chordata; Mammalia; Primates; Hominidae. The record is from RNAcentral.
GACGACAAGAAGAAGAAGGACGCUGGAAAGUCGGCCAAGAAAGACAAAGACCCAGUGAACAAAUCCGGGGGCAAGGCCAAAAAGAAGGAUCAUGAAAAUGAGUCUGUUGUGCGAAGUGUCUGCCGCUGUGCCUGCUGUGUUAUUUUUAACUGAUCUAGUGGGGCUCGGCCCCUGUUCUGAAGGCCAAAAA